This 618-nucleotide ribosomal RNA is filed under the name Bacillus safensis. Its description in RNAcentral is "bacterial SSU rRNA". It matches the Rfam family "Bacterial small subunit ribosomal RNA", at positions 111 to 715 of the family's 1533-position model. The record is from RNAcentral. Lineage: Bacteria; Bacillati; Bacillota; Bacilli; Caryophanales; Bacillaceae.
UAACACGUGGGUAACCUGCCUGUAAGACUGGGAUAACUCCGGGAAACCGGAGCUAAUACCGGAUAGUUCCUUGAACCGCAUGGUUCAAGGAUGAAAGACGGUUUCGGCUGUCACUUACAGAUGGACCCGCGGCGCAUUAGCUAGUUGGUGGGGUAAUGGCUCACCAAGGCGACGAUGCGUAGCCGACCUGAGAGGGUGAUCGGCCACACUGGGACUGAGACACGGCCCAGACUCCUACGGGAGGCAGCAGUAGGGAAUCUUCCGCAAUGGACGAAAGUCUGACGGAGCAACGCCGCGUGAGUGAUGAAGGUUUUCGGAUCGUAAAGCUCUGUUGUUAGGGAAGAACAAGUGCGAGAGUAACUGCUCGCACCUUGACGGUACCUAACCAGAAAGCCACGGCUAACUACGUGCCAGCAGCCGCGGUAAUACGUAGGUGGCAAGCGUUGUCCGGAAUUAUUGGGCGUAAAGGGCUCGCAGGCGGUUUCUUAAGUCUGAUGUGAAAGCCCCCGGCUCAACCGGGGAGGGUCAUUGGAAACUGGGAAACUUGAGUGCAGAAGAGGAGAGUGGAAUUCCACGUGUAGCGGUGAAAUGCGUAGAGAUGUGGAGGAACACCAGUGG